UACGUAGGGUGCAAGCGUUAUCCGGAAUUAUUGGGCGUAAAGAGCUCGUAGGCGGUUUGUCGCGUCUGCCGUGAAAACUGGAGGCUCAACCUCCAGCCUGCGGUGGGUACGGGCAAACUAGAGUGCGGUAGGGGAGAUUGGAAUUCCUGGUGUAGCGGUGGAAUGCGCAGAUAUCAGGAGGAACACCGAUGGCGAAGGCAGAUCUCUGGGCCGACACUGACGCUGAUGCGCGAAAGCCAGGGGAGCGAACGGG
RNAcentral lists this ribosomal RNA (253 nucleotides) under uncultured bacterium. RNAcentral's name for it is "partial 16S ribosomal RNA". It matches the Rfam family "Bacterial small subunit ribosomal RNA", at positions 524 to 776 of the family's 1533-position model. The record is from RNAcentral.